Eucalyptus grandis is the source of this 1663-nucleotide long non-coding RNA. RefSeq lists it as uncharacterized. The transcript is spliced from 3 exons. NCBI's taxonomy places the organism in Eukaryota, Viridiplantae, Streptophyta, Magnoliopsida, Myrtales, Myrtaceae. The record is from RefSeq and is a predicted model, not a curated record.
AGCAGGAGGGCAGCGAGAACAGGGGCGGCAGAGGAUCGGUGUGGCAGGCGAGCGGCAUGAUCCCCAGGUCGGGAGCACCCGGUCGGCAAUUGGCUCGGCCGUAGUCUUCGCGCAAGUUCCUGCAGAAAAAAAAAAAAGAGAGCAAAAAGGGAAGAAACGGGAAGAAAAGAGGAGGCAAGGCAGAGGAUCGGCAUGGCAGGGCUUUCGGCGCGAUCCGCGGGUCGGGGAAGCAGACCGAUCGACCAGCCGGCACGGCAGGAGGUCUUCGCUCGGAAUGCCUGCAGAAAAAGGAAAGACAGAAGUAUAAGACCGAAGGAGGGCAGCAGAGAGCAGGGCGGACCGGAAUCGAGAGGAAAACAGCAACCCAAAAAAAAAACCAGCAGGGAGCGAGCUUGAGAGAAGGAGACGAUUAGGGAGAAAGCUAGAAGCUAUUUGGGUGGAGUGUUGCUCGCCCCUCCUCGAGGCCAAUUGCUGACUUCUAGCCGACGCCCUCGAGAGCAAGACUUUUGGUUCCCAAAUCUCGGCAUUUUCCCGCCCAUCUUUUGCUUGCUGGGUGGUUCGAAAUGUUAGCUCGAAGGGUUUGGUGGAGUUAGUCCAGUGAUGGUGAUCGGGGAUUGUCGACGAUGCGGAUAUUAUUCUCGUCUGUAUACGAGUUGUUGAAAGUUGGGGCGUUUGAAGUUGAAUAGUUUAGUAUUCUGUGCGUUGGAAAACCCUGGCCGUUAGAUCUCGCUCCGCGUCCUGGGCCGUCUGAUCCAGGGAUUAGAUCCUGUCCGCCCAUCUGCAUUAAGGCUCUGGUAUGUCCUGAGCCGUUGGAUCGAAAAGCUCCCAUUAAAUCCCGUCCGUCCAUUUGAAAAGCUGGGUUUUCUUCUUCACCAGCUCUUCCAUGGGCAUUCCGUCCGCUGCUCCGGUGCAUCUCCGUCGCUGCUUUUGCUGCCAAGACGACGCGAUCUCCGGUCUUCAAGUAUUCCGUGGAAGCAAGGCGUUGGGAUUCUUCUUGGACGGCAAGUUGGUAAAUGCGUCCAAGAGGCGGAAUCGGAUCCAUCGCAAGGAUUUUGGCUUUGGAACGGCAGUAUUCAAAUUGUGGCUGCAGUUCAGUUGCAGAUCACACAAGCAUCUCAUGUAGUCAUGUGAUCCUCAACGUGAGCUGUUCUUGAGUAUUUGGCCCUCUUCAGAGGUAAGUUAGUCAACACCUAGAUCUUAUUGUUCUUUAGCAACUUUUCAUCUAUAACUUCCAUAUUUAAAUACAGAACUACUCUUAGAAAUCAUGUAACGAUAAAAGCUGUGAUGGAACAAUGAACAACUGUGAUGCUACAAUUAGAGGAGUCUUUAAUCAUCUGUCUCCUUGGAAUGAAAUAAUUUAAUUUGCUGGCAAUAAUCUUUAUCAGGAUUUUAUGCUUCUUGGCGACCAAAUGAUAAGUAAAAGACUGUCAAGUAAACUUGUGUUUCAAUCUGCUCCUUCCAAUUCUCACAGUUGUAUGGAAUAGAUUUAGGAAAACAAAGAACAAAACAAGAUUUUUUGGGUUGACUUUGGCAGGCUCUUUGUUUGGCCCAAAAUUAUGCCGUCAUUUCAUUGUGCAUAAUAAAUUUGUUCCUUUUUUUUUUUGUUAGAGACUAGAGACUCUUGUGCUUCAAAGUACUACUUUUAGUGAUUUUGUCCAUUAUG